CCUACGGGUGGCAGCAGUGGGGAAUAUUGCACAAUGGGGGCAACCCUGAUGCAGCGACGCCGCGUGAAGGAUGAAGUCUUUCGGUAUGUAAACUUCUAUCAGCAGGGAAGAAAAUGACGGUACCUGACUAAGAAGCCCCGGCUAACUACGUGCCAGCAGCCGCGGUAAUACGUCGGGGGCAAGCGUUAUCCGGAUUUACUGGGUGUAAAGGGAGCGUAGACGGUAUGGCAAGUCUGAUGUGAAAACCCGGGGCUCAACCCCGGGACUGCAUUGGAAACUGCCGAACUAGAGUGUCGGAGAGGCAAGUGGAAUUCCAAGUGUAGCGGUGAAAUGCGUAGAGAUUAGGAGGAACACCAGUGGCGAAGGCGGCUUGCUGGACGAUGACUGACGCUGAGGCGCGAAAGCGUGGGGAGCAAACAGGAUUAGAUACCCGAGUAGUC
RNAcentral lists this ribosomal RNA (440 nucleotides) under uncultured bacterium. RNAcentral describes it as "partial 16S ribosomal RNA". It matches the Rfam family "Bacterial small subunit ribosomal RNA", at positions 338 to 795 of the family's 1533-position model. The record is from RNAcentral.